GAUGAAGAACGUAGCGAAAUGCGAUACGUAAUGUGAAUUGCAGAUUUCAGUGAAUCAUCGAAUCUUUGAACGCACAUUGCGCCCGCCAGUAUUCUGGCGGGCAUGCCUGUUCGAGCGUCAUUUCAACCCUCAAGCACAGCUUGGUGUUGGGACUCGCGUUAAUUCGCGUUCCUCAAAUUGAUUGGCGGUCACGUCGAGCUUCCAUAGCGUAGUAGUAAAACCCUCGUUACUGGUAAUCGUCGCGGCCACGCCGUUAAACCCCAACUUCUGAAUGUUGACCUCGGAUCAGGUAGGAAUACCCGCUGAACUUAAGCAUAUCAAUAAGCGGAGGA
Molecule: unclassified non-coding RNA, 332 nt
Filed under: soil metagenome
Description: partial contains 5.8S ribosomal RNA, internal transcribed spacer 2, and large subunit ribosomal RNA
Rfam family: 5.8S ribosomal RNA (bases 1-120)
Source: RNAcentral